This 94-nucleotide transfer RNA is filed under the name Deinococcus soli (ex Cha et al. 2016). RNAcentral's name for it is "tRNA-Ser". The record is from RNAcentral. Lineage: Bacteria; Thermotogati; Deinococcota; Deinococci; Deinococcales; Deinococcaceae.
GGAGGGCAUGAAGAGUGGCUACUUCGCCCGGCUUUGAAACCCGGCGGGUGUCUGCAAGGGCGCCUUGCGGGUUCGACGCCCGCGCCUUCCGCCA